RNAcentral lists this ribosomal RNA (253 nucleotides) under uncultured bacterium. RNAcentral's name for it is "partial 16S ribosomal RNA". It matches the Rfam family "Bacterial small subunit ribosomal RNA", at positions 524 to 776 of the family's 1533-position model. The record is from RNAcentral.
UACGAACUGUGCAAACGUUAUUCGGAUUCACUGGGCUUAAAGGGUGCGUAGGCGGCCAUGUAAGUAGGGUGUGAAAUCCCCCGGCUUAACCGGGGAACUGCGCCCUAAACUGUGUGGCUUGAGUGAGAUAGGGGUGUGUGGAACUCUAAGUGUAGCGGUGAAAUGCGUUGAUAUUUAGGGGAACACCAAAAGCGAAGGCAGGAAACUGGACCAUACCUGACACUGAAACACGAAAGCGUGGGUAGCGAAUGGG